Molecule: ribosomal RNA, 440 nt
Filed under: uncultured bacterium
Lineage: Bacteria
Description: partial 16S ribosomal RNA
Rfam family: Bacterial small subunit ribosomal RNA
Source: RNAcentral
CCUACGGGAGGCAGCAGUGGGGGAUAUUGCACAAUGGGGGGAACCCUGAUGCAGCGACGCCGCGUGGGUGAAGAAGCGCCUCGGCGCGUAAAGCCCUGUCAGCAGGGAAGAAAAUGAUGGUACUUGAUGACGAAGCAGCGGCUAACUACGUGCCAGCAGCCGCGGCAAUACGCAGGGGGCAAGCGUUAUCCGGAUUUACUGGGUGUAAAGGGGGUGGAGACGGCGAUGCAAGCCAGGAGGGAAGGCCCGGGGCCCAACCCCGGGACUGCUCUUGUAACUACGUGGGGGGAGUGCAGGAGGGGCAAGCGGAAUUCCUGGUGUAGCGGUGAAAUGCGUAGAUAUCAGGAGGAACACCAGUGGCGAAGGCGGCCUGCUGGACUGCAACUGACGUUGAGGCCCGAAAGCGUGGGGAGCAAACAGGAUUAGAUACCCUGGUAGUC